AGUGAACGCUGGCGGUAGGCCUAACACAUGCAAGUCGAACGGCAGCACAGUAAGAGCUAGCUCUUACGGGUGGCGAGUGGCGGACGGGUGAGGAAUACAUCGGAAUCUACUUUUUCGUGGGGGAUAACGUAGGGAAACUUACGCUAAUACCGCAUACGACCUACGGGUGAAAGCAGGGGAUCUUCGGACCUUGCGCGAUUGAAUGAGCCGAUGUCGGAUUAGCUAGUUGGCGGGGUAAAGGCCCACCAAGGCGACGAUCCGUAGCUGGUCUGAGAGGAUGAUCAGCCACACUGGAACUGAGACACGGCCCAGACUCCUACGGGAGGCAGCAGUGGGGAAUAUUGGACAAUGGGCGCAAGCCUGAUCCAGCCAUACCGCGUGGGUGAAGAAGGCCUUCGGGUUGUAAAGCCCUUUUGUUGGGAAAGAAAAGCAGCAGGUUAAUACCCCGCUGUUCUGACGGUACCCAAAGAAUAAGCACCGGCUAACUUCGUG
RNAcentral lists this ribosomal RNA (492 nucleotides) under uncultured bacterium. RNAcentral's name for it is "partial 16S ribosomal RNA". It matches the Rfam family "Bacterial small subunit ribosomal RNA", at positions 29 to 507 of the family's 1533-position model. The record is from RNAcentral.